RNAcentral lists this ribosomal RNA (1353 nucleotides) under uncultured bacterium. Its description in RNAcentral is "bacterial SSU rRNA". It matches the Rfam family "Bacterial small subunit ribosomal RNA". The record is from RNAcentral.
GGGUGGAUUAGUGGCGAACGGGUGAGUAACACGUGAGUAACCUGCCCCUGACUCUGGGAUAAGCGUUGGAAACGACGUCUAAUACUGGAUAUGAUCACUGGCCGCAUGGUCUGGUGGUGGAAAGAUUUUUUGGUUGGGGAUGGACUCGCGGCCUAUCAGCUUGUUGGUGAGGUAAUGGCUCACCAAGGCGACGACGGGUAGCCGGCCUGAGAGGGUGACCGGCCACACUGGGACUGAGACACGGCCCAGACUCCUACGGGAGGCAGCAGUGGGGAAUAUUGCACAAUGGGCGAAAGCCUGAUGCAGCAACGCCGCGUGAGGGAUGACGGCCUUCGGGUUGUAAACCUCUUUUAGUAGGGAAGAAGCGAAAGUGACGGUACCUGCAGAAAAAGCACCGGCUAACUACGUGCCAGCAGCCGCGGUAAUACGUAGGGUGCAAGCGUUGUCCGGAAUUAUUGGGCGUAAAGAGCUCGUAGGCGGUUUGUCGCGUCUGCUGUGAAAUCCCGAGGCUCAACCUCGGGCUUGCAGUGGGUACGGGCAGACUAGAGUGCGGUAGGGGAGAUUGGAAUUCCUGGUGUAGCGGUGGAAUGCGCAGAUAUCAGCGAAAGCAUGGGGAGCGAACAGGAUUAGAUACCCUGGUAGUCCAUGCCGUAAACGUUGGGCGCUAGAUGUAGGGACCUUUCCACGGUUUCUGUGUCGUAGCUAACGCAUUAAGCGCCCCGCCUGGGGAGUACGGCCGCAAGGCUAAAACUCAAAGGAAUUGACGGGGGCCCGCACAAGCGGCGGAGCAUGCGGAUUAAUUCGAUGCAACGCGAAGAACCUUACCAAGGCUUGACAUACACCGGAAACGGCCAGAGAUGGUCGCCCCCUUGUGGUCGGUGUACAGGUGGUGCAUGGUUGUCGUCAGCUCGUGUCGUGAGAUGUUGGGUUAAGUCCCGCAACGAGCGCAACCCUCGUUCUAUGUUGCCAGCGGGUUAUGCCGGGGACUCAUAGGAGACUGCCGGGGUCAACUCGGAGGAAGGUGGGGAUGACGUCAAAUCAUCAUGCCCCUUAUGUCUUGGGCUUCACGCAUGCUACAAUGGCCGGUACAAAGGGCUGCGAUACCGUAAGGUGGAGCGAAUCCCAAAAAGCCGGUCUCAGUUCGGAUUGAGGUCUGCAACUCGACCUCAUGAAGUCGGAGUCGCUAGUAAUCGCAGAUCAGCAACGCUGCGGUGAAUACGUUCCCGGGCCUUGUACACACCGCCCGUCAAGUCAUGAAAGUCGGUAACACCCGAAGCCGGUGGCCUAACCCUUGUGGAAGGAGCCGUCGAAGGUGGGAUCGGUGAUUAGGACUAAGUCGUAACAAGGUAACCA